Molecule: transfer RNA, 69 nt
Filed under: Caerulea coeligena
Lineage: Eukaryota; Metazoa; Arthropoda; Insecta; Lepidoptera; Lycaenidae
Description: tRNA-Leu
Source: RNAcentral
ACUAUUUUGACAGAUAAAUGUUUUGAUUUUAGAAAUCAUAGAUAUAUAAUAUAAAUUAUAUAUAUAGUA